Molecule: ribosomal RNA, 174 nt
Filed under: uncultured bacterium
Lineage: Bacteria
Description: partial 16S ribosomal RNA
Rfam family: Bacterial small subunit ribosomal RNA
Source: RNAcentral
UGAGGAACAUGACCUUCGGCGGGGGAUAGCCGGCCCAACGGCCGGGUAAUACCGCGUACGACCUUUCGGGGACAUCCCUGGAUGGUGAAAGCAGCAAUGCGCCGAUGGAGUGCCUCGCGGCCUAUCAGCUAGUUGGUGAGGUAACGGCUCACCAAGGCGACGACGGGUAGCUGG